CUAGCACGUAUAUCCCUACUGGACUCCAUAUGUGUAACUAGAUUGCUGCUGGACUUUUCUUUUUUGGAUGUUCUAUGUUAAACUACAUUUAAAUUGACCCAUCAUAUUUUCUCUCAAUUCUCAUUCUGUGUUCCACAUCUCAGUAAAUGUCACCAAAAUUCACUAACUCUUUUACUUCAGGAGCAAGGAUGCAAUCAUUAGUACCUUUGUCUUCCUCAUUCCUUCUCAAUUUCCAAGUUCAUUCUGUAUUUUCUUCAAAGAUUUGAACUCACAUUUUUCUCACCAGCCUCACUGCCAUGCCACAGAGGAAUUCAUCUGAACUUGGUGAAAUUAAUAGUUUAUAGUCUGUUUUAACAUCCAAUUGUAUUUGGUUUUGUAAUGUUCUAUACUACAUGCAAUGGUCUUUUCACUCCAAAUAGAUAAACUUUCUCGAAGGUAAAUAUUAUAUUACCUACCUUUUGGCAUAUGCAUUGUUUUAAUUCUGGUGCUAGAGCUAUACAUGUAGUACAUUUAAAUGUAGUUUUGAAUUUGGUAUUCUUGGAUAGAACUGGAGGUCAUUAUGUUAAGUGAAAUAAGCCAGGCACAGAAAGACAAACUUCACAUGUUCGCACUUAUUUAUGGGAGCUAAAAAUUAAAACAAUUGAACUCAUGAAGGUAGAAGGUAGAAUGAUGGUUACCAGAAGCUGAGAAAGGCCAUGAGAGUGGAGGGUUGGGGAGGGGAGUGGAGAUAGUUAAUGGGUACAAAAUAAAGUUAGAUUGAAUGAAUAGGAUCUAGUGUUUGAUACUACAACAGGGUGAUUACAAUCAACAAGAAUUUAUUAUAUAUAUGAAAAUAACUAAAGAUUUUAAUUGGAUUGUUUGUGACAAAAAGAAAGGAUACAUGCUUGAGGUGAUGGAUACCCCACUUACCCUGAUUUGCUUAUUAUGCAAUGUAUGCCUGUAUCAAAAUAUCUCAUGUACUCCAUAAAUAUAUACCGCUACCAUGUACCCACAAAAGCUAAAAGUUAAAAAUUAAAAUAAAUAAAUAAAAUAAACUUUCAGGUUAAAAAAAGGAAGUUGAUGUUCCUCUUAAAGAGUCUGUGGAAAUUUUCUUCUUCAUAAGUCACCUCACAAUCCAAAUAUAAAGGCUAAAGUUGGGCCCACUGGCUAGUUGAACUUGUGUCAUCCUAAAGCAGCUUAAUUGUAGUAUUGUCAUGCUUUAAGAGCUGGGAAAAUUGAGGAACAUGAGAUCAGACACAGCCAAACUUAACUUUCACUGAGGCUGCUGCCCCUCCUGUGGGUAUAAUAUUUCCGUUCAUCAAAAGAUUUUUUUCCUUACUUAAUGUACUUACCAUGUGGUUUUAUUAGAAUGAAUAGCUCUCUCCUUGUAAAUGCAUUUGGUUGGAAAUUCAAUUUCUUUCAGGGCCAGUGGGAGAGGUCGAAGGGCUAUAAAUAUUCCUUCUCCAAACUGUUUAUAAGUAAAAUGGCAUUGCCUAAGAGGCCUGAAAAAUGUUGCGCUAUAUCCUGAAUUAUGUACAAAUCCCUGGCAAUCUUCUGUUUCUUUCUUUGAUGAGGACAGAUUUUACAGUCUCCCUCAGUGAUGAGUUAUGUUCGUAGUUGUUUUAAUGGAUAGCUGUGUCUAUGAAGAAUGAGAGUGAUCACCAGGGCUUCAACUCUAACUCCUGACUUUUCUUUUAAACCUGGGGACUAGAAAUUCUCAUCAUGCCUCCCUCAUUGUUGUAUCUAGUGUUGAAAUGAGGAGACCUUGGUAGAACCUACUAACCCCUCUGCCUCUGGGUUGUGCAACUUUGGGUAAGGCCCACAACUACUUUGUUCUUAUUUUUCUUGUGUUAAAUGAAACUAUUAUCUUCUAUGCAUUCCUCCCAGGCUUGAUGUAGAUAUAAUUUUAGUCCCAUUUUCAAAGUCAGUUUUUAAUUCAUUCCAUCAAAUAAUUAGUUUCAUAGCAUAUUUCUGGGUGGCAAGCAUGCACAGACAAAAGAGAUAAUGCAAUGCUUUUGUGAAAUCACGUACAUUGUCUCAUGUGAUUUUCCUCCUCAGAAUGAUUGUUGGUCUGGGGAAAAAUAAGAAAAUUUUUGGUAUUGUCCUCUUUAAUUGAAAAGUGAGGUUCAGUAGGAAAGAAAUGAAAACUACAAUUUUGUGAGUGUCUACUAUAUGCCAAGCACAAGCUGGAUGCUAAAUAUGUAAAUUGGAUAGCUACCAGCUGAUUUCAUUUACAUCCACUCUUGAAUGGGUUUACAUCCAUUCUAACUUGGCUUCCUCCUCAUGUUUUCAUCACCCCCAGAGGUAUCUAAGCCAUCUAUUGUGGAGUCUUAAUUGGGUCCAGUAUCGUGGAGAAGUAAAUUGGCCCUGCAAAAGAGUUAAUUGGAAUGUGGGUGGUAGCAACUCUGAAAAACUUGUUUUCAUCCUGCACUAGAAUAGUCCAAGUUCAUCAAACUGAAAAUAAAUAUUUGCAUUGAAAGUACAGAACAUGACAAAAUAUCAGGUAAACUUUGAUUCAUUUUCUUCUGAGAUGACUAAAAACAUUUUAGUUAUUCUCUCAUUAUUUCUACCAUCAAGAAGAGAUCCACAUAGAGCUUAAAAUACUGCAUGGACAUAUCCAAACAACAAGUGGUUGCCUGCCCCAUCUGUCCUCCCCUCAAGCAUACUCUAAGCUAUUUAGGCUUUGGGUUCCAUGAAAUCUGGAAAAAUUCUUCAGAGGCUGAAAGACAGUAAGAACAUUAAUUUCCCCUACAGUUUCCCAGUCUGAAGAGAGCUGCUUGUUAAAACAGGGAAAAGCAUCUCUAAUUCAAAAUGCCAGUAGUCAUACAAUUAAACUGGGAAAUGGAGAACUAAUUAUGAUUGUAUAAAAUAUAUGAAGCUUUCAUAUCAAAAAGUAAAUCUCAAAUGGCUCAGCUUUAGGAUAUCCAUCUUUCUCAGCCUGGUCCCUGGCUGGAGACAAAUAUUUGGCAUAUGUCAUAGUUUAGCCAUCAACCCAAAGGCACCAAGAUACUUGCUGCUAUCACCUAUUUUCUUCCAUGUCGUUUUGAGAUCUUUGCCUAUUGCCAGACCCAUCUUUGCCAAAAAGGAAUUAAUCAUGUUCUAGUGAAGUCACUGUGGGUAUGUAUUUAUUCAUUCUCAGGAGCCUGGCAAUGGCUCCAGUCCUUUGAGUUCCCCCUGGUAGGGUGAUGGGAAUGUAUAGUUUAGAAAAAUAUAGAGUUUUGCGUUAUACCCUUUGAUCAGCAUAAUGCCAGAUUAGCUAGGAAAUGUGGUCGUGGCCUGGUUUAUUUGGACUGGGAGUGGCAAUCCAGGAAAUGGACUUUACCAAAGAGCCAAGGUGGCAUCUGUCUUCUAUCCAAUCAUCUAACUGCUGUGGAAAAAAAUAUACUGAAUAGCAAAAGUAUUUGUACUGAUAAAUUUCUUUUCCUAUCACUGAAACCAGUAAAUCAUUUUAUAAUGUUCAUUCAUUUGUAAAAACAGUUACCAUCUAC
This 3467-nucleotide long non-coding RNA is filed under the name Homo sapiens (human). RNAcentral's name for it is "HSALNT0300778". The record is from RNAcentral. Lineage: Eukaryota; Metazoa; Chordata; Mammalia; Primates; Hominidae.